Long non-coding RNA from Schistocerca nitens (vagrant locust), 643 nucleotides. RefSeq lists it as uncharacterized. NCBI's taxonomy places the organism in Eukaryota, Metazoa, Arthropoda, Insecta, Orthoptera, Acrididae. The record is from RefSeq and is a predicted model, not a curated record. The transcript is spliced from 4 exons.
ACUUGUGCCUGUGCAUAUACUUCCAGUUUUUAUGCUUUUUCAGUAUAACCACCUUGUUUACUGUUCCAGCAUUUCCAUCAGCAACAGCUAUGUUAAAAUGUUCUGAAUUUCAUCGACAGAAAAUGAACUGUGCUUUGCUUCAUAACUUCCGCUGUUUCCCACUUCUAAGUAUGAAGAUGGCAGUUUGUUGACUAAUUUAUUUACUUGCUCGGUACCGCACUAUACUGGAUAUGGUGACAUGCAGUCCAGUUGAAUGAAAUUAAAUCAGUAAUUUUACAUUUAAUUGUGUGGUAAGCAACUACACAAACUUUUACAAGUAGUUCCAGCAAUGGACCAGAAAGUUUUUCAUUAUUUACAUCACAACUAUAAAUGAACUAACUGACAGCACAGCGCAACACUGCACUGUUUUGUUUGUUCAGUGACAAUGAGUACCGUGAAGUCCUUGGAAGUGAGCUUGAAUAAGAGCAAUAAUGACUGUGUAAGUGAAGUUAAGUGUACUAAGUGAUGCAAGUGGAGAACCAUUAUACAGGGAGAGAGGGUGAGAGAGGGAGUGAGAGAGAGAGAGAGGGGGACAGAGAGAGAAUAAAUAAUAGUAAUUGUUAUUAUUAUCACAUAAAUGAGAAUGGCACAUACUAACCCGAUA